GCGCGGGAAGCCUGGGUCUCUGCAUUUGGGUGGAUGCUGGGUAGACUAGCGGUUUACAAGAAAAGUGCUUUAUGAAGAACACUUUAUAAAGUGAUGGUGAUGAACGCUUUCAAAAUAUUUCAAAGAACUGAGCCAAGAAGGUAUUUAGAUAUCUGAGAGGGAAGCUUCAAAUGCGAAGACGUCAAUCAUAUGGCUUUGCAACUCUCUUCUGAUGAAAAUGACAUCUGCGGUAUUUGCAGACAGGCCAGCCGUCUGGGGUCUUGUUCUCUGUAGAUUCAUCCAAGUUGUCGCAUGUGUAACAGUCUGUACCUUCUUUAUUGCUGAGCAGCAUUCCCAGCCACGUGGCUUGCAGAAUCUUAGUUCCCGGACCAGGGAUUGAACCCGGGGCGCCGGCCAUGAAUGUGCCCGAGUCCUAACCACUGGACCCCGGGGAAUUCCCAGAAACUGACAGAAUGUUUUCCAGAGCUGCUGUCCCAUUUCACUUUCCCAUCCACGGUGUAUGAGUGAUCUGGUUUCUCUGCAGCCUCUCCAGCAUUUGGUGUUGUCACUAUUUUCAUUGUAUAGUGAUAUCAUGUGGUUUUAAUUUGCAUUUCCCUGACGGCUAAUGAUGUUGAACAUCUUUUCAUGUAUUUGCCAUCUGUAUAUCCUCUUUGGGGAAAUGUCUGCUUAGGUCUUUUGCCCACAUUUAACCACUUUUUUAAAGUUAACUCUAUCAAUAGAAAAUCCAGCCGUAUGAGUUACAAAGCCAUAGGAAGCACCAUUUUACACUUGUUAGCAGCUUGUGGGGGGCUAGGCAGGGGGUCAAGAAUAUAUGCUGUGUGGGGCUUCCCUGGUGGCACAGUGGUUAAGCAUCUGCCUGCCAAUACAGGGGACACGGGUUCGAGCCCUGGUCCGGGAAGAUCCCGCAUGCCGCGGAGCAACUAAGCCCGUGCGCCACAACUACUGAGCCCGCGUGCCACAACUACUGAAGCCCGCACGCCUAGAGCCCGUGCUCCACAACAAGAGAGGCCACCACAAUGAGAAGCCCGCGCACCACAACGAAGAGUAGCCCCCGCUCGCCACAACUAGAGAAAGCCCGAGUGCAGCAACGAAGACCCA
This is a long non-coding RNA of Physeter macrocephalus (sperm whale), 1098 nucleotides long. RefSeq lists it as uncharacterized. NCBI's taxonomy places the organism in Eukaryota, Metazoa, Chordata, Mammalia, Artiodactyla, Physeteridae. The transcript is spliced from 4 exons. The record is from RefSeq and is a predicted model, not a curated record.